Molecule: unclassified non-coding RNA, 253 nt
Filed under: uncultured Caryophanales bacterium
Lineage: Bacteria; Bacillati; Bacillota; Bacilli; Caryophanales
Description: uncultured Bacillales bacterium contains 16S-23S intergenic spacer region
Rfam family: Bacterial small subunit ribosomal RNA
Source: RNAcentral
UACGUAGGUGGCAAGCGUUGUCCGGAAUUAUUGGGCGUAAAGCGCGCGCAGGCGGUUCUUUAAGUCUGAUGUGAAAGCCCACGGCUCAACCGUGGAGGGUCAUUGGAAACUGGGGAACUUGAGUGCAGAAGAGGAAAGUGGAAUUCCACGUGUAGCGGUGAAAUGCGUAGAUAUAUGGAGGAACACCAGUGGCGAAGGCGACUUUCUGGUCUAUGACUGACGCUGAGGUGCGAAAGUGUGGGGAGCAAACAGG